This 253-nucleotide ribosomal RNA is filed under the name uncultured bacterium. Its description in RNAcentral is "partial 16S ribosomal RNA". It matches the Rfam family "Bacterial small subunit ribosomal RNA", at positions 524 to 776 of the family's 1533-position model. The record is from RNAcentral.
UACGGAGGGGGCAAGCGUUGAUCGGAAUUACUGGGCGUAAAGCGCACGCAGGCGGAUUGGUAAGUCAGAGGUGAAAUCCCCGGGCUCAACCUGGGAACUGCAUCUGAUACUGGCAAGCUUGAGUCUCGUAGAGGGGGGUGGAAUUCCAGGUGUAGCGGUGAAAUGCGUAGAGAUCUGGAGGAACACCGGUGGCGAAGGCGGCCCCCUGGACGGAGACUGACGCUGAGGUGCGAAAGCGUGGGGAGCAAACAGG